Molecule: non-coding RNA, 101 nt
Organism: Desulfomicrobium orale DSM 12838
Lineage: Bacteria; Pseudomonadati; Thermodesulfobacteriota; Desulfovibrionia; Desulfovibrionales; Desulfomicrobiaceae
Source: Rfam
GGGCAGGGGAUGUAAAGUAGGCCUACUUUUCGCUUCGCUCAAAGCCUACUUUACGUUCCUUAUUCGCCUUCGGCUCAACGGAAACCCUGCUCUGCGAGGCU